This 460-nucleotide ribosomal RNA is filed under the name uncultured bacterium. RNAcentral describes it as "partial 16S ribosomal RNA". It matches the Rfam family "Bacterial small subunit ribosomal RNA", at positions 338 to 795 of the family's 1533-position model. The record is from RNAcentral.
CCUACGGGAGGCAGCAGUGAGGAAUAUUGGUCAAUGGACGAGAGUCUGAACCAGCCAAGUAGCGUGAAGGAUGACUGCCCUAUGGGUUGUAAACUUCUUUUAUAUGGGAAUAAAACAGGGUAUGCAUACCCUCUUGUAUGUACCAUAUGAAUAAGGAUCGGCUAACUCCGUGCCAGCAGCCGCGGUAAUACGGAGGAUCCGAGCGUUAUCCGGAUUUAUUGGGUUUAAAGGGUGCGUAGGUUGUUUUUUAAGUCAGCGGUGAAAGUUUGUGGCUCAACCAUAAAAUUGCCGUUGAAACUGGAAGACUUGAGUGUGUUUGAGGUAGGCGGAAUGCGUGGUGUAGCGGUGAAAUGCAUAGAUAUCACGCAGAACUCCGAUUGCGAAGGCAGCUUACUAAGCCAUAACUGACACUGAAGCACGAAAGCGUGGGGAUCAAACAGGAUUAGAUACCCGAGUAGUC